Molecule: long non-coding RNA, 841 nt
Organism: Tribolium castaneum (red flour beetle)
Lineage: Eukaryota; Metazoa; Arthropoda; Insecta; Coleoptera; Tenebrionidae
Exons: 2
Source: RefSeq, a predicted model, not a curated record
CCGAGCGCGUCAUUUAUUUGUUUCGCCUUUUUUGUGCGAAAUUGCUCUUAAUUAGUUGGGCGAGAAAAAAGCUGCGAAUUGCUCACGAUUUGCAUUAAAAUUGAAGCAAGACAAAGUGAAACGUGCGAUGGCAACCGGCAAUCAAUUUCGGCUUGUAUGCAUGUGAAUAAUAAAGUCUUUUCAUGUUGGCUUUUAUAUAUAAAGCAAGUAUUGGUUUGGAGACAGCUUUAUAGACGCGGCAAAAUCUGUAAGGAUGAUGAUCGCUUCUUUGCUGGUGGUCGCCGCUGUGGUGGCCUGUUCCAGCGCUGAUCCUAUUUUCGGUUGGUAUGAUGUGUGUCAAGAGUGUCCGUCCUCGGAAGAGGAUAGCGAUAUCUUCACGGAAACUUGGUGUGAAUGGAUGUGUGAAACGAUUGAAGAACAGGAGUGUGCAACAAGCUCACCUACAACUACGACGAUUAAGUCAUCGACGACGGCUGUAGGGGCUUCGGCAGAAUCAUCAUCAACGACACAACCCUCACAGAACACAUCGACGACGACGUCGAGUCAACCUUCAAGCUCAACUACUCCCAAAACAUAAUUAUCUUCCACAUUUUUUAUACUUAUAUUAUUUUUUAAUUACGUGCAAAAUAUUAACAAUAAAAUAACUUAGGCAGUGUUGUAAAGUAUAACUUUGUAUAGUUAUUACUGUUAUUAGUUUUAAGUUCUUUUAAAUUUUAAGUUAACUGAUUCAUAAUUUUAUUAUUUUCUACAGUUUAUAUUUGUAUUACAGAUACCAAAGAGUGGAGUUUCUGCCACUUACAUAAAACCUGUACCUAAAAUAUUAAUAAAUAAAUACUAUCUU